RNAcentral lists this ribosomal RNA (233 nucleotides) under uncultured Actinomycetales bacterium. RNAcentral describes it as "partial 16S ribosomal RNA". It matches the Rfam family "Bacterial small subunit ribosomal RNA", at positions 97 to 334 of the family's 1533-position model. Lineage: Bacteria; Bacillati; Actinomycetota; Actinomycetes; Actinomycetales. The record is from RNAcentral.
GGCGAACGGGUGAGUAACACGUGGGUGAUCUGCCCUGCACUUCGGGAUAAGCUUGGGAAACUGGGUCUAAUACCGGAUAGGAGCCAUCUUUAGUGUGGUGGUUGGAAAGUUUUUCGGUGUAGGAUGAGCUCGCGGCCUAUCAGCUUGUUGGUGGGGUAAUGGCCUACCAAGGCGGCGACGGGUAGCCGGCCUGAGAGGGUGGACGGCCACAUUGGGACUGAGAUACGGCCCAG